AACGAACGCUGGCGGCAGGCCUAACACAUGCAAGUCGAACGCCCUAGCAAUAGGGAGUGGCAGACGGGUGAGUAACGCGUGGGAACGUGCCCUUCGGUUCGGAAUAACUCAGGGAAACUUGAGCUAAUACCGGAUACGUGCGUGAGCAGAAAGAUUUAUCGCCGAAGGAUCGGCCCGCGUUGGAUUAGCUAGUUGGUGAGGUAAUGGCUCUCCAAGGCGACGAUCGAUAGCUGGUCUGAGAGGAUGAUCAGCCACACUGGGACUGAGACACGGCCCAGACUCCUACGGGAGGCAGCAGUGGGGAAUAUUGGACAAUGGGCGCAAGCCUGAUCCAGCCAUGCCGCGUGAGUGAUGAAGGCCCUAGGGUUGUAAAGCUCUUUCGCCAGGGACGAUAAUGACGGUACCUGGAUAAGAAGCCCCGGCUAACUUCGUGCCAGCCGCCGCCGUAA
Molecule: ribosomal RNA, 449 nt
Filed under: uncultured bacterium
Lineage: Bacteria
Description: partial 16S ribosomal RNA
Rfam family: Bacterial small subunit ribosomal RNA
Source: RNAcentral